This 456-nucleotide long non-coding RNA is filed under the name Anas platyrhynchos platyrhynchos (common mallard). RNAcentral's name for it is "lncRNA (ENSAPLG00000025325.1)". The record is from RNAcentral. Lineage: Eukaryota; Metazoa; Chordata; Aves; Anseriformes; Anatidae.
UAAACUCAGGGCAUGAGAUUAUGCUUGGAUCUAGUUUCACUUCAUCCACAUUUGGUGCUUUCUAGUUUAAGUCUGGAGUGGGUCAUCUGACUUCGCAGGCAGGAGAACAGCUGUGCAGGAGAAUGUUUUGAUAUAUGACUUCUGUUCUUCCAGGUAGUGUGGAGGAAAUGGAUUCAAACAAACUCGUUUGAAGAAUAUAAGCCAAGCACAGCCAUGGGAUCAAACGUAGAAAUGGAGUGCAAGUUCAUCUACUGUUAGUCACCAUUUUUGAGGAAACAGCAAGAACAAACAAGCUGUCCAACAGCAGCUUUUGGUAAUCACCAUUUUCCAGAUUUCAAGCACAAUCUAUACUUCUUCAUCUGGAGUUUCAGAAAACCGGAAUCACACAAGUGUAAGAAUUCUGACAAAGCUGUAGUUCAGCAUUUUGGCAAGUGCAACGAAAAGAACUGUGUAUAU